GCGACGACGAAGCAUCCUUGCGCGGGCACGCGCCGGCGAAGCUUCCUGGCGCCGGUGACUCCUUCGCCGUGUUGACGGCCGCUUUCCAGCAUUGUACGGCUACAUGCCCACUCAACCUGCUAAAUCGGCCUCGUCUCCAGUUACAUCCACUGUAAGCAGCCAAAACUUUAGCGUCACCGGUCACAUUCCUACGGGGUCGGCUACAUCCCAGUGUCUCCUGAUACAUCCAACUGUAAGGCAAUCACAUUUCUAUCCUGAAGUCGCUCGAUGUAGUAGUUUGAGUAUUCUCAGUGUUCAGGCUAGUGUUCGGCUGAUCGAUGUACGUUGAUAUGUUAGUAGCACAAAUUAGUUACAGUAGUGGAAAAGUACCAUCUAGUAAUAAAAUUGACAGGAGAUGUGUUACAUCUCUUGUCAUGAUUCCUACAUGUAACUGAUUUAUAUCCUACAAAAAAAUUGACAUUUGCUACAUCCGCGGGCUAGAAAAAGGGGCAAAUACAAGCUGGCCAAGAAAAGGGAACAGAGCUUCAUCGCCAAUAAA
Molecule: long non-coding RNA, 538 nt
Organism: Lolium rigidum
Lineage: Eukaryota; Viridiplantae; Streptophyta; Magnoliopsida; Poales; Poaceae
Exons: 2
Source: RefSeq, a predicted model, not a curated record